This 201-nucleotide ribosomal RNA is filed under the name uncultured bacterium. RNAcentral's name for it is "partial 16S ribosomal RNA". It matches the Rfam family "Bacterial small subunit ribosomal RNA", at positions 328 to 538 of the family's 1533-position model. The record is from RNAcentral.
ACGCUCGACACCUACGGGAGGCAGCAGUGGGGAAUAUUGCACAAUGGGGGAAACCCUGAUGCAGCGACGCCGCGUGAGCGAAGAAGUAUUUCGGUAUGUAAAGCUCUAUCAGCAGGGAAGAAACUGACGGUACCUGACUAAGAAGCACCGGCUAAAUACGUGCCCGNAGCCGCGGUAAUCUGAGCGGGCGUGGCGAAGGCG